CAGUAAUCAAACAAGUGAAACUGUGAAAAUGUAAAAGAUUAGUCAGAAAAUUCCAUGAUACCGCCAUGUUCUUUUACAAAAUUGCCCUUUCCCCUUCUCUCUUUAUUCCUCCUCCAUCUCCAGAGUCCAGCCACCCACGCCACCACCGCCAACCAGCCAGCACCACCCCUGUCGGCCCUCUCUUUUUCUCUCUCCUCCCAUCCCGUUCGUUUCCCCCUUACUAAAACUCGAUCAAAUUCGGAUUUUUGGCAAUUGAUCAACUUCAAUUAAAAUUUGACAAUUGAACUUACACACACUCCACUCUACACUAGUCAUAUUUUCUCAAUUUCGAAAUCUUUGCAAUUUUGUUUCUGCAAUUAAAUUUUCAGAUUCAACGUCAAUUUCUUGCCAAGUCCAGAAGAAAUUCCCAAUUUCAGCUCUUAUCAUCAUCAUCGAAUUUCUGGGUUCCAAAAUUUGUCCUAAUUAAUGUUGAAAUUCGACUCAAAUUAUGCUUCUGAUUGCCGUUAUUGCGAAUCAUGUGGAAGUUCCUCUGGCGGUCUUUCAAGUCAAAUUUAGCUCUCUUCAGCUCAAGAGAUUCGAGAAUUGAGCUCACCCAGCUUGCUUGCCAAGCUACCAACUGGUUAGGGUUCGGGAUCCUUACGUUCAAAUACCCUGCACACCAGCCAACGAAAGAGCAUCAUACAACUCUGAAGGCAAACGGGUUGCAAGGAUGGCAUACAAUGGGAUUGCCUUGGGCAUAGCUAGCCCUAAGCCUUCUGUCAUAUCAACUGAGCCACCAUUGUCGGUCCAUAUAUCAAAUCCUUGUACCAAACGAGCCAACGUCAGGUGAACCACUUGCAACCCAAAGUUCAUCCCUGGGCAAGCCCUUCUUCCUAGGGAAAACGGGAUGUACUCAUAACUCUGACCUCUAAAAUCAAUACUCCCAUGCUCAUUUAGGAACCUUUCGGGCCGAAACUCGUCUGGCCCGUGCCACACCCUUGGAUCCCGGUGCACCUUCCAGAUGUCAACGAUUAUGCGGGUUCCUUUUGAGAUGAAGUGGCCAUCUAUGUGGCAAUCUUCCAUCGCCUCACGUGGACCUGCCAAAGGGCUCGGUGGGUACAUACGAAGUGUUUCCUUGACAAUGGCUUGGAGGUAUGGUAGGUUAGCGAUGUCUGAUUCCUCUACCCAUCUCUGUUUCCCAACUUGGUGAUCCAGUUCUUCUUGGGCUGCUUUUAGGGCCUUGGGGUGGUUCAAUAGUAGUGAGAUGGCCCAACUUAGUGUGAUGGAGGUGCUUUCCGACCCCGUUAAUAAUAGUAUCUGCAUAUAAAAUUAUAUAUUAUUUGAGAAAAAAAAAAUGUUGAAAAAAUCAUGAAAUUUUCAAGGGACCAGAAAUUCAGAAUAUGCUUGCAUAAAAAAGUCAUGCACUCAAUCCAGAAAUUUUCUUAAGAUUGAUUUCAGCUAAGUUAGGGUGUGUUUUAUUCAUCUGGUUUUACUAAUCUGUAUUUAUAUGAACUUAAGUGAACCUAUCAAUUGAAGCGGACAUAACAGGGCAUUAGUUGAUGAAGAGCUAUUCGUCUACAUCAUUGAUGUUUGUGCUUUCUACUCUCCACCCACCCAAAGAAAUAGUUAUGUUCAAUACUAUAAUAAAUCAAAAAGUUAUCCUUCUAAUCAAAUAAUUACAGUUUGUCACUAUAUAGUUAUAUUUUAUAAUGAUGACAUCAGUAGUCUUAUGCAUAAGGCGUUCUCAUCUGUGAAAAUACCAUACUUAUUAUGAUGAAAUAGAUUAGAAAAUACCAGUGAUGUUGCUUUGAUGACAGUGUCCCUAGUGUAGCCAGACAUUACACUGCCUUCUGCAAGGUUUGACAGCAAAACAUCCAUGAAGUCAGUAUCUUCACAACCACAUUGAUGUUCUUUCCUUGUUUGGAUAUGCUCAUCGAGCCAAUGUCCAAUAAUCAUGUCUAUUUCCUUGUGAAUAUCCUUCAUAGACCUGAUAUACCCCAUUACAUCCAUCCAUUCAAUAGACGGUAUGAAAUCCGAGGGCACGGCCACCCCAGCAACAUAUGUAGCUUUGCCUAUUAACUUCUUAAACUGCGAAGCAAAGGUGCCAUUUUCUUCGUAUGAUUGAGGAGAAAACGUCUUUCCAACUAUCAUACGGAUAACAAUAUUAAAACUUGUGUACUCAAACCACUUACAUAGUGAAAUUUUCCCACUUUGGAACUUAUUGUUGUUGUCUGAAAGUUUUCUGCAUUCCUUAAACAGAUGUUUGAUGCAGGAGUUCACCUCUGAAGCUCGAACAUGCUUCAUUUUCUCGAGCCUCUUUGUUGAUAAAAGCUCAACAGUUGAUAUCUUUCUGAUAUCGCGCCAGUAUUUUCCAUAUGGAGAGAUGGCAAAUGAUGCGUAGUUGUAAGCAAAGUACUUGCUUACAGCCAUAGCAGGACGUGUUGCAGUGACAGCAUCGUUGUUCAGGAAACAAUCUUUCACUGUUUCCCAGGAACUCAGGACUACUACACGCUGUUGGCCAAGGCGGAGGGAGAAGAUUGGGCCGCAUUCAUCAGCCAUUGCUCCGAGUGUUCGGGCUAUGGUUUUUUUGCCACUUAGAAGAUGUAAGUGACCUAUGAAGGGCAAUGCCCCUGGUGGUUGAGGAAGUUUCUUACUCAUUUUGUGCUUGUUAAUACUUUUUAUUGAUUUCCGGGUACUAUGGUAUGUUGGAAUCAGAGUUACAGCUAGAAUAACUAGCAGAAUCAACUGCCAAUAUGGAGUGAAAAUUUCCAUAUUUUUUCACUCUUGCUAGAGUUGGUGUAAGGUGGUGUCUUUGAGGUUUGGAAGACAAAGGAAAAUGCAGGUUUUAUGGUUGAA
Molecule: long non-coding RNA, 2835 nt
Organism: Spinacia oleracea (spinach)
Lineage: Eukaryota; Viridiplantae; Streptophyta; Magnoliopsida; Caryophyllales; Amaranthaceae
Exons: 3
Source: RefSeq, a predicted model, not a curated record